This is a long non-coding RNA of Vollenhovia emeryi, 2395 nucleotides long. RefSeq lists it as uncharacterized. NCBI's taxonomy places the organism in Eukaryota, Metazoa, Arthropoda, Insecta, Hymenoptera, Formicidae. The transcript has 3 exons. The record is from RefSeq and is a predicted model, not a curated record.
CUAGUCGCAUGUGUGUAUUAAUCUUUGUGGAAUAGUUGAACGUUUAGUUACGAAUUGCUACGAAUUUAUUCUUAAAAUCAACGCAUUAAUUUUAUUCCUGAUCUGACUGACAUUUCCGAGUUCCAAAAAUGAAAAAUGUCAUGAUAUUUAUGACUCUGUUAUUCGUUGUCUUCUCAUUAUCGCCAACAAUUUGUGACGAAAUAAGAAAAAAUGCUUCUACAGUCAAACAUCGCAAUGAGAAGUACACAUAUUUGGAUCUUCCUGCUAGCAUCGCACGUCUACCGAGUGGAUUAUUCAAGUGGUACACGGGAUAAGGAUGGACACUACCCGCCAAAGUAAUUUUGAGGAGGAUAAGAUAUAUGGCACGCAACAUAAUGAUUAAGGUUAAAAGGAAUGGUUAAUCCGAAGCUGUUUUACUUUGGAAUUCUUCGUCCUAUUUUAAUAUAAUUAUAAAAACUUGUUUGAUGGAAUUCAAAUAUGAAUUAAAUAACAUAAAUAUCAUAAAAAUGAAAUAAAUAAAGAUUAUCUACUCAUAUCGUAUGUUUCUUAUGAGAGAAUAUAUUCUCUGUAAUUACAAUGAAUUUCAUAAGACUAUAAUAGCAGAUAAACAUUUGUUUCACUAAUGCAUCUUGUUCUAUCGUACAAUUAUAUGAUUUUAUUCUUUUAAUUGCAUAAUAGAUUUACGCAUUAUACAUUUUACUUAAUUUAUUUUGUUUUCGGACCCGUAGAUCAAGGAAACAGUGAUUUAAAAUGUAAAAUAGUAGUAAAUCCUUAGAAAUUUCAAGCAUUUCGUAUUAAAUAUUUUUUUUUACAUAAUUAACUCUUUAUUCUCGUAGUUUAAGUUGGAUGACUUUAAUAUUUGCAAGUAAUAUGUAUUUUUAUAUAUGUAUGUGCAAAAUAUGCACUGCAGGUGCGUUGGAUCCAACGUAAUUCUUGGGAUCCACGAUAAUUAUAGUUAUAAUUGACUCGCAAGUUAAUUGCUAUCCUACUCGAGUAUUGCGGAAAAAAGAAGUGCGAGUUAUUGUACGCGUAUAUAAAAUUUCUUACCCGCAUGGCUAGUAUUGAUCACGGCCGUCUGAUAACGGAAGUUAUUUCAUUAUAAUAAGAAUAUUGCAAUUCAGAUGUAAAUACGAAAUAAGAAUUUAUAUUGUUAAAUUUGCUGUUAAAAUGCGAAACGAGCAGUAUACAGGCUUUGGUCCUUGCAUCAAGAAUUCACGGGCCCGCAUCUCACACAUGCAAAAAGAUGAAAGAUGCCCGUACACCAGUACGAAAGCGCAUCUGCAUGAUCUGCUAUUGAAAAUUCAUGUCCCGAGUGGUUUAUACGGAUGAAAAGUGGGAGGAACCGGAGGACAUUGCUCAACGGGCAGGAGACGCGGCGGUAGGUACUACUAAUUACUUAUACUUUUUAUUCCAUGCGAAUAUAAUGCCGUCGAAGCAGCCUCGGAGCAAGGAGGUCGCCGAUGGAAAAAAGGAAGGCGUACAAAGAGAGAAGGCGAGGUAAAAAGAGACACUGCCGCGCGAGAAAGAUCGGUGGAGGGAAUAUGUAAAAGGGGCAGGGUAGGGUGUAGUUGGAGUGCGUUACUCAAAGCUUUAAAGUCAUCUAUACGCCAUCAGCGACCGAUGUAUGUAUGUGGGGACCCCAAACCGCGCGUACACGCUCGUAAAAUCGCCAUGGCGCAGAAGGCAGGUCGGACUCCUGAUUGAGUUACGAUUUAAUUAGUCCGCGCGGCCAAUCAGUAAUUAAGAUAUCCGCUAAUCAACGGGCGCGGCCCUUCUUCGAUCUCUCUUUUUUCAUAAGUUCGCCACUGGAGAAUUUUUGCCGUAUUCUUCCUCCCCCCCCUCUCUCUACCCUUCCUUACGGUACUCUCAUUCUAUUUCGUAUUGUUCCUAAUCUGUUCUAUUUCUUUCUUCAUUAGUUAUAAUUUAUUAUUAAGCUUGAAAUAACCGUACUUGAUCAAAUAAAAGAUUUAUUAAAUUAUUUUGUGUAUAUAAUAUGUUUCUAUAUCACUUGGUAAAACGAUUAGCGUCGCACCUUAUUCGUAUCCAAGUUUCUUGUUCAAUAUUUGCUCUGGAACUUUUAGAAUCGAACUUCUAAUCAGCAUGGUCUCAUCUCUUUCAAUGAGAAAAAUACUGAAUGUUCCCGGCAUCUGCCGGAAAAAGAUAGAACACACAUGAUCGAAGACAUGCCUGAUAAACGAGCCACAUUUAUUCUGCCUCACCUUUUUUACUAACCUGUUUAACAUGCACAGUCCAAUCCACGAGAGAGGAUUGCACAAAUUUUAUGUAUGCUAAUAAUCAUCGUCGGAAUAAAGCUGCGAUGAUGCACAGAUGUAUACACAUUUAUUGUUUAUACACCAACAGUUUUGGUGCGAUUUUUAAAGAUGUUUUUUCUCCG